CCCCCCUUCUGAAACAGGCCUCGGGGAAGCAUACCUUACCAACCCCCCCCCCUUCUGAAACAGGCCUCGGGGAAGCAUACCUUACCAACCCCCCUUCUGAAACAGGCCUCGGGGAAGCAUACCUUACCAGCCCCUUGCUGAAAAAGGCCUCGGUUUGGAGGGAAACACCUUACCAAGCCCGUGCUGAAACAGGUCUCGGUUUGGAGGGAAACACCUUACCAAGCCCGUGCUGAAACAGGUCUCGGUUUGGAAGGGAAACACCUUACCAAGCCCGUGCUGAAACAGGUCUCGGUUUGGAAGGGAAACGCCUUACCAAGCCCGUGCUGAAACAGGUCUCGGUUUGGAAGGGAAACACCUUACCAAGCCCGUGCUGAAACAGGUCUCGGUUUGGAGGGAAACACCUUACCAAGCCCGUGCUGAAACAGGUCUCGGUUUGGAGGGAAACACCUUACCAAGCCCGUGCUGAAACAGGUCUCGGUUUGGAAGGGAAACACCUUACCAAGCCCGUGCUGAAACAGGUCUCGGUUUGGAAGGGAAACACCUUACCAAGCCAGUGCUGAAACAGGUCUCGGUUUGGAAGGGAAACACCUUACCAAGCCCGUGCUGAAACAGGUCUCGGUUUGGAAGGGAAACACCUUACCAAGCCCGUGCGAAACAGGUCUUGGUUUGGUUCUUAUAUGGCUGUUACACAGUUCCAAGCUCAAGUAGGCUUUUGUUGUCAACUAUUUGUCAAUAUAUCAAACACAAUGUGUCAAUAUUCUGAACUUGACAAUACAUGAAGUUUGUUUGAGUGACUUAAACCACAAACCGCUUUUGCCAGCCAAAAUACCUGAACACAGUCUCACAUACAGUUCAUGCACACCACUGUUCAGAUCCUACUUUUAUUUGGCAAAAUGUCAGUUUUGCAUGUAGAGGAGAUAAAUAGUUUGAGUCAAUUAGCAUGCCAAUGUUUGUUCAUAAUAAAAACAUGUUCAAAGGUUUUGUAUAUUUAUAUAUUUGUAUAGAAUAUAAAGGUGGGAAUUAUUUAAAAGCUGCUCUCUGUUCAGCCAUUACAUUCCACUCCUUGACAUUCAUGUAAUUUGCCAAAGACAGGAGUGGCAAGGAGUGGAAUGCUAGCUAAAAAGACUGGAGUGGAAUGCUAGCUAAAAAAGACUGGAGUGGAAUGCUAGCUAAAAAAGACUGGAGUGGAAUGCUAGCUAAAAAAGACUGGAGUGGAAUGCUAGCUAAAAAAGACUGGAGUGGAAUGCUAGCUAAAAAAGACUGGAGUGGAAUGCUAGCUAAAAAAAAACUGGAGUGGAAUGCUAGCUAAAAAAGACUGGAGUGGAAUGCUAGCUAAAAAAGACUGGAGUGGAAUGCUAGCUAAAAAAGACUGGAGUGGAAUGCUAGCUAAAAAGACAGGAGUGGCAAGGAGUGGAAUGCUAGCUAAAAAGACUGGAGUGGAAUGCUAGCUAAAAAGACAGGAGUGGCAAGGAGUGGAAUGCUAGCUAAAAAGACAGGAGUGGCAAGGAGUAGAAUGCUAGCUAAAAAGACAGGAGUGGCAAGGAGUGGAAUGCUAGCUAAAAAGACAGGAGUGGCAAGGAGUGGAAUGCUAGCUAAAAGGACUGGAGUGGAAUGCUAGCUAAAAAGACUGGAGUGGAAUGCUAGCUAAAAAGACUGGAGUGGAAUGCUAGCUAAAAAGACUGGAGUGGAAUGCUAGCUAAAAAGACUGGAGUGGAAUGCUAGCUAAAAAAGACUGGAGUGGAAUGCUAGCUAAAAAAGACUGGAGUGGAAUGCUAGCUAAAAAGACUGGAGUGGAAUGCUAGCUAAAAAGACAGGAGUGGCAAGGAGUGGAAUGCUAGCUAAAAAGACUGGAGUGGAAUGCUAGCUAAAAAGACAGGAGUGGCAAGGAGUGGAAUGCUAGCUAAAAAGACUGGAGUGGAAUGCUAGCUAAAAAGACUGGAUUGGAAUGCUAGCUAAAAAGACUGGAGUGGAAUGCUAGCUAAAAAGACUGGAGUGGAAUGCUAGCUAAAAAGACUGGAGUGGAAUGCUAGCUAAAAAGACUGGAGUGGAAUGCUAGCUAAAAAGACUGGAGUGGAAUGCUAGCUAAAAAGACAGGAGUGGCAAGGAGUGGAAUGCUAGCUAAAAAGACAGGAGUGGCAAGGAGUAGAAUGCUAGCUAAAAAGACAGGAGUGGCAAGGAGUGGAAUGCUAGCUAAAAAGACAGGAGUGGCAAGGAGUGGAAUGCUAGCUAAAAAGACUGGAGUGGAAUGCUAGCUAAAAAGACUGGAGUGGAAUGCUAGCUAAAAAGACAGGAGUGGCAAUAUUGAGAGUUAGAAAGCAUUGGGCGUUAUAAGAGGGCCUUACUAUCUCUAUCUCGGUGACAGAAAGAGGACUUUGGCGUAACUCUUUAAAAAAAAAAAAAGGAAUUAAAGAUUGGGUGUUUGCUGCUGUUGUGGAAAGGGAGUCAGAAUGGAUGCUGGUUGGUAUGGUGAUUGAGUGAAUUUUAGUGUAUCCUAUGUCCACAGCCAGCCUUUUACCAAAAAUAGUUACCUAAUCCAUUGGUAGACAACACUGGUCUUGGAGAGCAGUUUGACAUUUUACUGCCAGUAACGUAAGCAAUUUGCUGCACCCGCUAUAACAUCUGCCAAACUGUGUGCGACCAAUAAACGUUGAUAUGCAGCAGUCCUAAUCUGGACCCCUUUUUGACUCCUUGUUGUUAUGUAUUGGGAGAUCACUUAGAAACAGACAACUACCAAGCACAGGACUUUGUGUUUACCUGCCCAUAUCAGCUCUGAAGUCUCAUCCCACCCUGCUCUAACCUGCUCCGCUGUCUCAUAUCUCAGACUGUCAUGCUCUAUGAUUCCCUUUGUUUAUAGACAGAGGAGGGCAGUAAUGAGCCAUUCAAGAGCUCCUGGGACUGUGGGGAGAUGGAAGAAUGUUUUUGGGAUGAUGUGGAGCCAUCAGAGGGUCUAGUCAGAAAGUGGUGUGUUACCAAAAACUGCAGACUGGUGUACCUGCACUUGCUAUACUGUAGUGUUGUCCUUGGAGGCAACAUUAUUUGACUUUUUCAUAUAUAGGUCUAUACAGUGCAUUCAGAAAGUAUUCAGAUACAUUUGUCAUUAUGGGGUAUUGUGUGUGUGGAUUGAUGAGGGGUAAAAGCAAUUUAAUCAGUUUUAGAAUAAGGCUGUAACGUAACAAAAUGUGGAUAAAGUCAAGGGGUCUGAAUACUUUUUGAAUGCACUGUAAAUACACAAAGUGUACAAAACAUUAAGAACACCAUCUUAAUAUUGAGUACUCCCCCUUUUUGCCCUCAGAACAGCCUCAAUUUGUCGGGGAGGGGACUCUACAAGGUGUCGAAAGCAUUUCACAGGGAUGCUGGCCCAUGUUGACUCCAUUGCUUCCCAUAGUUGUGUCAAGUUGGCUGGAUAUUUUUUGGGUGGUGGACCAUUCUUGAUACACGUGGGAAAGUGUUGAGUGUGAAAAACACCUCAGCGUUGCAGUUGACACACGCAAACCGUUGAUCCUGGUACCUACUACCAUAACCUGUUCAAAAGCACUUCAAUCUUUUCUCUUACCCAUUUACCCAUUGAUUUUCUCUGCUUUUCCCCCAAAGCCGGGUGCAAUGCUCUCCACCAGUUUGGCUAUGGUUACAAUUAGCUACAAUUACUUUACCUCAAACUAGUGAAAGUAUUUUUUUUUUUUUAUUACAUUUGGAUUCAUUCUCAGACAUGGUCAAAAGGAGAAACAAAAGGAGAAACAGUAGACAUUGCGCUCUCUACAGACAGUUAACCAAGUGCAUGAUAAUGUGUGCCCUAAACACGGGUGCUCAUGGUCUAUUCAGAUUUGGAUUGAUCAAGGUGUAAGGAAGUUAUGUAAUAUCAUUUUGCUAUACUAUCAUGUUAUAUUAAUAGCCAACUAACAAAUACUAAAGCAUCAAACAAGUAUUUCUCAUUUCAUUUGUUUAGCUGUUUGUUUAGAGGCAGUUGCCAUUUGGAAUAUUACGGUUUUGGUUCAUUUAAAACAAAAAAAAAUGUAAAUCGUCAAUGAUAUUUACUCAGUUGAUGUAAAACAGUCUUGUAACUUUAUUUGGAUUGUAACUCUGUUUCCUUUAGGGUACAAGGUUUUGGAUUGUAACUCUGUUUCCUUUAGGGUACAAGGUUUUGGAUUGUAACUCUGUUUCCUUUAGGGUACAAGGUUUUGGAUUGUAACUCUGUUUCCUUUAGGGUACAAGGUUUUGGAUUGUAACUCUGUUUCCUUUAGGGUACAAGGUUUUGGAUUGUAACUCUGUUUCCUUUAGGGUACAAGGUUUUGGAUUGUAACUCUGUUUCCUUUAGGGUACAAGGUUUUGGAUUGUAACUCUGUUUCCUUUAGGGUACAAGGUUUUGGAUUGUAACUCUGUUUCCUUUAGGGUACAAGGUUUUGGAUUGUAACUCUGUUUCCUUUAGGGUUCAAGGUUUUGGAUUGUAACUCUGUUUCCUUUAGGGUACAAGGCUGUUUCCUUUAGGGUACAAGGUUUUGGAUUGUAACUCUGUUUCCUUUAGGGUACAAGGUUUUGGAUUGUAACUCUGUUUCCUUUAGGGUACAAGGUUUUGGAUUGUAACUCUGUUUCCUUUAGGGUACAAGGUUUUGGAUUGUAACUCUGUUUCCUUUAGGGUUCAAGGUUUUGGAUUGUAACUCUGUUUCCUUUAGGGUACAAGGCUGUUUCCUUUAGGGUACAAGGUUUUGGAUUGUAACUCUGUUUCCUUUAGGGUACAAGGUUUUGGAUUGUAACUCUGUUUCCUUUAGGGUACAAGGUUUUGGAUUGUAACUCUGUUUCCUUUAGGGUUCAAGGUUUUGGAUUGUAACUCUGUUUCCUUUAGGGUACAAGGUUUUGGAUUGUAACUCUGUUUCCUUUAGGGUUCAAGGUUUUGGAUUGUAACUCUGUUUCCUUUAGGGUACAAGGCUGUUUCCUUUAGGGUACAAGGUUUUGGAUUGUAACUCUGUUUCCUUUAUGGUACAAGGUUUUGGAUUGUAACUCUGCUUCCUUUAGGGUACAAGGUUUUGGAUUGUAACUCUGCUUCCUUUAGGGUACAAGGUUUUGGAUUGUAACUCUGUUUCCUUUAGGGUUCAAGGUUUUGGAUUGUAACUCUGCUUCCUUUAGGGUACAAGGUUUUGGAUUGUAACUCUGUUUCCUUUAGGGUACAAGGUUUUGGAUUGUAACUCUGUUUCCUUUAGGGUUCAAGGUUUUGGAUUGUAACUCUGUUUCCUUUAGGGUACAAGGCUGUUUCCUUUAGGGUACAAGGUUUUGGAUUGUAACUCUGUUUCCUUUAGGGUACAAGGUUUUGGAUUGUAACUCUGUUUCCUUUAGGGUACAAGGUUUUGGAUUGUAACUCUGUUUCCUUUAGGGUUCAAGGUUUUGGAUUGUAACUCUGUUUCCUUUAGGGUACAAGGCUGUUUCCUUUAGGGUACAAGGUUUUGGAUUGUAACUCUGCUUCCUUUAGGGUACAAGGUUUUGGAUUGUAACUCUGCUUCCUUUAGGGUACAAGGUUUUGGAUUGUAACUCUGUUUCCUUUAGGGUUCAAGGUUUUGGAUUGUAACUCUGUUUCCUUUAGGGUACAAGGUUUUGGAUUGUAACUCUGUUUCCUUUAGGGUACAAGGUUUUGGAUUGUAACUCUGUUUCCUUUAGGGUACAAGGUUUUGGAUUGUAACUCUGUUUCCUUUAGGGUACAAGGCUGUUUCCUUUAGGGUACAAGGUUUUGGAUUGUAACUCUGCUUCCUUUAGGGUACAAGGUUUUGGAUUGUAACUCUGUUUCCUUUAGGGUACAAGGUUUUGUCUUUUUUUCCAGGAAAAUAAAAGAUUUGACCCUA
Molecule: long non-coding RNA, 5825 nt
Organism: Oncorhynchus keta (chum salmon)
Lineage: Eukaryota; Metazoa; Chordata; Actinopteri; Salmoniformes; Salmonidae
Exons: 6
Source: RefSeq, a predicted model, not a curated record